CAGAUCUCUGAUGUUAAGUUGCUGCUAAGUUGCCCCAAAUCACGCCACCCCUCCAUGCUCAUACCAUCUCCAGAAAUUGCUCAUUUCAUAUCUCUCUCUAAUUUGUGAAUCAGAACGGUGAAGAACAUCAGAUAAGAGGACGAAGAUGUAAAUUUGUGAUUUUUGCACUAGCUGAGUUUGAUUCAUCAGAUUAGAGAGAGAGAUUCGCUCUAGCUUUCAGGACCAAAACCUUCGAAUUCCCGCUGACGGAGAGGAUGCCGACUCCGCCAAGAAAUUCAUCGGAGUAAACCCACUAAUCUAGCUCAAUCCAGACCAAACCCACAAAUCUCCGAUCCGACACAUCAAAACCCAGUUCACCAACAUGAUUUCCCCCUCAAUUUUUGCACAAUUUCUGCAUUUGAAACUUCGUAUUUUCAAUUGAAAACCGCUCACGAGCCAGAAUUACAGUCUUUGAUUUAGGUAAUUUGGGAAAAUCAAUAAUUUGAUGGGUGGGUCUUCAAGAUUGGUAUUUGAAUGGGAGUUUUAGAUUGAGAAAUUUAUCUCUCUCUCUAAUUUGUUAAUGCUGGAUCUUGAUGGGUCUUUUAAAUGCUUUUUU
Molecule: long non-coding RNA, 595 nt
Filed under: Actinidia chinensis (golden kiwifruit)
Lineage: Eukaryota; Viridiplantae; Streptophyta; Magnoliopsida; Ericales; Actinidiaceae
Description: long non-coding RNA (ACHI_LNC008109)
Source: RNAcentral